This 8569-nucleotide long non-coding RNA is filed under the name Triticum aestivum (bread wheat). Its description in RNAcentral is "long non-coding RNA (TAES_LNC016489)". The record is from RNAcentral. Lineage: Eukaryota; Viridiplantae; Streptophyta; Magnoliopsida; Poales; Poaceae.
UCCUCCUUCUCCUGCCGCCGCCAGGUGAGACCUCUCCAGGCAAUAGCCGUCGCCAUGGCCAGAGGAGCGCAAGCUCGUCCCCGGCUUGUACGCCUCUGUCCCCUGCGUUGCUGCCACGGGGAGAGAGUCGCGGCACUGAACGUCGUCUCCUUCGUCCACGCACGCGUCCACGAGCCUCGGAUCGACCUCCCCGACGACCUCUGCUUCCCCUGCUUCCUCUGCUUUACGGACGCCAAGUCGGAGGCCUCUUCUCGUCGCCGACCUCUCCUUCUUCUUCCUCGGGUCUACCUUGCCGCUGGCUAAAUUCGUCGCGUCCCCGAGCUUGUUCGACUCCUCCGAGCCCCUCUACGUGAGCAGCCGCGCUUCCCUGUACCUUUUUCUCGUUGGUUGCCUCCUCUGUCGCCGGUUGCUAUGCUUCCUCUAGUUCUUCAGCCGCAUGCAGCGCCUCGUCUGCAACUCGCACGCAUGCACCAGGGCAUGCCCAGCUUCUUGUUCACCGUAGGUCUCUGCCCCGAGUCGAGCUCCUGCUCGUGCCCGAGCGCACGCACGCACACGACUCCUGCAAGAAGCUGCCGCUCACUCGCACACAGCCUCGUCGGUUUCUGCACCCCCGCCGGUGAUCUGCUGCACCUGCAGCCGCUGCUUGCUCCCGUCGCCGGCAAGCAUCACCGGGCAUCCAUGGCCGUAGUUGUGGCCAUGCAACGCAAGAGUUCCUACCCUCGUCCAACCGAGCCAACACCCGCACGCGGCUCUGGUCGCCUUCUUCUCCAUGUCAGGGACGAGCUGUAGCUCGUGCUCAAACGCCUGCGCACACGCCACGCCCUUGCAUCCUCACACGCACUCCCCGCAAGCGUCUGCCUUGCCGUGCCUCGCUGCCGCGGCCGAGAGGAGCUCCUGCCUGAGCUUGUUCUCGAGCCCUUGCUCAUGCCGUUGCUCCGCCGCUCGCGCAACCACACCCGCGUAGGUUUCCGCACGCCCGCUGCUGUCCUGUAGCGUCGAUGCCCGCUGCUUUGCUCGCUUGCGUCGCCGGCGAGCAUCACCGGGAGCCAUGGCUCCAAAAGCUCGACCUUCUGUAGUUGGCUCAAGUACGAUGUCGUCCUCAAUUCUUUCAUGAAGACAGGCACAGCCGGGUUGGCUAGCACAGCUGGCAUUCACACAAGAGGUCCUGGGUUCAAUUCCUAGCCACCCAAGUUUUUUGCCCAUUCUUCAUUUUAUUUUUGCACACAGCCAUUUGGGCCAGAUCUGCUACCGGGCUUGCACAGUGCGUUGAAUCCGGCCCGUGUAUGUUUUUUUCCUUCUGUUCUCUGUGAUUUAACGUUAUAUUGCAUUGCAUAAUUACAGAAAUGACAUUAUCUUGCAUUGCUCAUAUAUAAAUAACCAUGCAUCGGUUUGCAACAAACUUCAUAUGUAAAAUGCUUAGAAUUUCAUCUACUUUCAUAAUAUGCAUCUUUCAUCCUUGUUUAAUAUGUUUAACUUGCUGUUUGCAUUAAUUUGCAUAAAUAAGAUGCUAAAAUGGUUUAUUUCAUAACUAAAUAACCGUAGCUCCAAUUUUAAUAAACUUUAUAUGUAAAUGGGGUGGGAAAAUGCCUAGUUUAACAUGGUGGACUUUAUUUUCCUGUUUAACAACAUUAUAAUAUGGUUUAGGGCAGAACAGUACCAAAUUCAUAAUAUGCAUAUGGGGAUUUUUCCGGAAUGGUUGUUUGUGAUUCCGGCCUCAUUUAAACUUGCCUAAAUACGUAGUAUUAUUAUUUUACACCUCUUGCCAUGUUUAACAACAUGUAAUAUUGUUGUGUUCCUAAACGAGAGAGAACUAAAUAAUUGAUGUGGUGUUUCGUCAAUAUGCAACUCGUUGCAUAUUGAGCUCCACUUAAUUUGUAGUGUUGUUUGUUGCACUUUGCCAUGCCAUGCCUCAUUAAAUCGGACAUGCAUCAUACUUGAUUGUGCAUCAUGCCAUGAUUAUUCUUGGUUUUUUACCAUGUUGUUUGCUUCUUUCCGGUGUUGCUUCUUCUUGAUAGUUCCAGUUACGUUGCGAUUGUGAGGAUCCGUUCGACUACGUCCGUUUGUCUUCUUCAUGGACUCGUUCUUCUUCCUUGCGGGAUUUCAGGCAAGAUGACCGCUACCCUGGAUCUCACUACUAUCAUUGCUAUGCUAGUUGCUUUGUUCUAUCGCUAUGCUGCGUUGCCUAUCAUUUGCUCUUCAAGCCUCCCAAAUUGCCAUGAACCUCUAACCUUUGACACCCUUCCUAGCAAACCGUUGUUUGGCUAUGUUACCGCUUUGCUCAGCCCCUCUUAUAGCGUUGUUAGUUGAAGGUGAAGUUGAAGAUUGCUCCAUGGUGGACAGGGUUAUGUUGGGAUAUCACAAUAUCUCUUAUUUAAUUAAUGCAUCUAUAUACUUGGUAAAGGGUGGAAGGCUCAGCCUUAUGCCUGGUGUUUUGUUCCACUCUUGCCGCCCUAGUUUCCGUCAUACCGGUGUUAUGUUCCCGGAUUUUGCGUUCCUAACGCGGUCGGGUGAUUUAUGGGACCCCUCGACAGUUCGCUUUGAAUAAAACUCCUCCAGCAAGGCCCAACCUUGGUUUUACCAUUUGCCUCACCACCACCUACUUUUCCCUUGGGAGUCGCUCUCUCGAGGGUCAUCUUUAUUUAGCCCCCCCGGGCCAAUGCUUGUCUAAGUGUUGGUCCGAACUAGAGUCCUUUGCAGCGCCCCCUCAGGGAAACUUGAGGUCUGGUUUUAGUUGUACGGAGUGCUCAUCCGGUGUUGCCCUGAGAACGAGCUAUGUGCAGCUCCUAUCGGGAUGUCGGCGCAUCGGGCGGUCUUGCUGGUCUUGUUUUACCAUUGUCGAAAUGUCUUGUAAACCGAGAUUCCGAGACUGAUCGGGACUUCCUGGGAGAAGGAAUAUCCUUCGUUGAUCGCGAGAGCUUAUCAUGCGCUAAGUUGGGACACCCCUGCAGGGUAUAAACUUUCGAGAGCCGUGCCCGCGGUUAUGUGGCAGAUGGGAAUUUGUUAAUGUCCGGUUGUAGAUAACUUGACACCAGAUCCGAAUUAAAACGCAUCGACCGCGUGUGUAGCCGUGAUGGUCUCUUCUCGGCGGAGUCCGGGAAGUGAAGACGGUUUUGGGUUAUGUUUGACGUAAGUAGGAGUUCAGGAUCACCUCUUGAUCAUUGCUAGCUUCACGACUGUUCCUUUGUUUCUCUUCUCGCUCUCAUUUGCGUAUGUUAGCCACCAUAUUAUGCUUAGCCGCUACUGCAACCUCACCACUUUACCCCUUCCUUUCCCUUUAAGCUUUGCUAGUCUUGAUACCCAUGGUAAUGGGAUUGCUGAGUCCUCGUGGCUCACAGAUUACUACAACAACAGUUGCAGGUACAGGUUAUGCGAUGAUCAUGACGCGAGAGCGAUGUUUACUUGUUUUGGAGUUCUUCUUCUGCUGCUUCUUCGAUCAGGGGAUAGGUUCCAGGUCGGCAGCCUGGGCUAGCAGGGUGGAUGUCGUUUGAGCUUCUGUUUGUGUUUCAUCCGUAGUCGGAUGUUGAUCUCUUGUAAGAUGAUGUUAUAUUCGUGUGGUAUUGUAUGCCUUUUGUAUGUAUCCCCAUCUAUUAUGUAAUGUUGAUGUAAUGAUAUCCACCUUGCAAAAGCGUCUUCAAGAUGCGCUUCUAUCCUUGGUGGGACCUUCGAGUUCCUUUAGGAUAGGGUCGCAUCUUGGGCGUGACAAGUUGGUAUCAGAGCCUCAACCGACCAUAGGAGCCCCCAUGAUUGUUGGCCGUUGAGUCUAGAAAAAAAACUAUGUUGAGUCUUAGGAUUAUAUAUAUCGGAGAGUAUGAUUCUUUUUACUCCUCAGCCCCCUUCGUCGCUCUGGUGAGGACUCCUGACGUAGAUGUUUUGUCUUUCCUCUCCUCAAAUUUCACUAAAAAAAUUUUAGGAUCACGCGGGUAUCUUGGGAUUGUUCCGAUAUUCUUAUGACGAAAACAUUGUUCUUGGUGCCUCCUGACAUUUAGGGGUUGUGGCAGUGUCCCGGGGAGUUGAGCUCUGAGGUGUUGUCGUCAUAAUUUUAUCGUUGCAGUUCUGGAAUACUUGAGUUUUGCCGACAUUGAAAAUCUCUUUUAUGCAGUUGUUGGUGAGAUAACCUCGACGCCACCCAGUACUGGGGAGUUCGGGAGUAUUACCAUAGCUUGUAUAACGGAUGCUUUUCGAAGGUUGAGGUACACGAUUUCCGGAGUUUUCUUGGUUAUGUGUUGACGGAUGGAUACAGCUGGAUGUAGGGAUUGUUAGUUUGGGUGAGAUAUAUUGCUUCCCCUGUAUCCCCAACACCAGAUUGCAUAACCAGAAAUUUCGGUAGUUUUAUAGGUGGGAAUUCAAGUAGCUCCUAGAAUAUCUUUCUGACAGAUGCAUGAUGUGGGAUUGGGUAAAUCUCUAUCAUAUGUAUUUGUUCCGGCUUAUUCUGCAAGCCAAAUCCUUUGUUUUGUUUUAUUUGUGGUAUUCGAGUUGCUUCGAAGUCAAAUGUUGAAUUCAUACCUUUCCUAAACGGUGUUCUCAUAUUGCUAUGUGAAUACUAAUCCUUUUUGAUCAUUGAGGUUGUCAUGUUAAUUCUUUUUCAACCGGUGCGCUUCUCUUCGAGAUGAUCCCAUCAUUCUCCCCAUCCGCAAGAUCAAUUCUAAGUUUUCUCAACGGUGUUUGUUUCGUUCAUCCCAAGUUGUCUUUGUUUUCCCCCACCCUCCCAUCCUUUUUCUUCAAGGACUCAGAUUUCUUAAUCAAGUAUCCAUUUAUUCAUGUGAAGUCACUUCACUCUGUUCAAUCAAUGUUCUUAUGCGGUGAUUUCCCAUGAAGAUGCUCAACAGUUUCAAGUUCAUCAUCCUUCAUUGUUAUUUCUUCUCCGGUGGAUCCAAUUCAAGCUUUCGAUAUUCAUCAUAUUCCUUUCCGCGUUUCUAAUGCUUUAUCGUGCCGAUGCACACCUUAAUCAUUCACUUAUUCCUAUUCAUUUGUUCUGGAGUGCUGAAGAUAUCUCACAAGAUUCGUGUUUCCAUUCUCAAUCCGUUCAAGUUAUUUUGAGGCUCUUAUCUCAUUCAAGCCAUUUAAUUCAACCGGUGCAAUAUCUCUUUAAAUCAUUUCAACGGUGUUUCUCUUGAGUGGGCCCUAACCCACAGGUGUUUUUCCAAGAUCUUACCUGACUCUUCUAACUUUUCCGGAGCUAUUCCCAAAUUCUUUUCGAAGUUUGACGUAAGAAUGAAUUAUCAUCAGUCAUAUUCCUUCUCCAAGAUCGCUUUCAAAUUCUUUUCAUCAUAUGUUCAACCUUUCCUCUUUUAAUUCUCCCGGAGUAUCUCAACAAUUCAUGGUGGUUCUCAUCAUCAUUCUCAACAUUUGAAGACCGAAGAAGGAUUUCUCUUAAAUUUUGGUCCAUUCUCUUGAUUAUUCAUGGUUCUAGCUUCAUGCUAUCCUCAUAAUUGUUUUUGAUUGUGACUAUUCUUUUCACCCAUCCGGAGCAUUUCAUGAGUUGUUUCCAUUUCUUUCCUCCGAAGGCCAUCAUGUCAUAAUUCUUCAUUCUCAGUGUGUAGCUAUCGUUCUCCAAAUCUUAACAGUGCAUCGUUCAAAUAUCCUCUAAUCAGUUCAUGAUCUCUUCGUUCUCAUGUAUCUAAAUCUCUCAAGUAUCCUCGUUCGUUUUCUAAUUCUUCUCGGUGUUUCUUUAUCUUUUCUUCGUUCAUUUUCAAUUCUUACGGUGAUUCGUUCAAGAUUUCACUUCCUUCGUUGUCAUAUCAAAUAUUCGUUGGUUCCAAUCCCACCGGUGGUUCCAUCAAUACCUUCUCAAGUUUGCGCUAUAUCUCUUUUAAUCCUUUCUACAGGAAUAAGUAGUAUGCCAAAUACAUUGCUUGUCAUCAAUUUAAUUUGAUGAAGAAUAAGCAUACAAUAAAUCCUAUUCUUAUUUCCGCGAGGUGAUUCAAUUCUUUUCUUCCAGAGAUUGUUCAUGAUGAAGUAAUUCUCCGUUCUAGUGUUUCAUCUUUUCCUUUUCCGGAGUUCCAAGUUUUCUCGAUUAUAUCGUCGCGAUGCUCCAUCUAAUUCAUUGCAAGGCUUCACCUUGUGUUUUCAGGUUCUCUUUCUUUUUAUCAUCCUUUUAUUACCGCAGUUCUUCAUGGAGGCUCUACAUGGUGGUUUGUCAAGGAUUCUUUCAUUCUUCAAUUGUUCCUCAAGUGUUCUCUCAAAGCUAUGACCCGCCAAGCUAUACUCUAAAAUAAACAUGGUGCUCAACACAUGUUUUUGUUUUGAGGAGCUCAAGUAUUCUUCAUCUUGCAUUCCAAAGUGCAAUUCUUUCUACCUUAUCUUUUGAGGUGGUGUUAUAUCAUUAUUGACAAUUUCCAUUCAUGUUUCAUGAGUCACAUGUUGUCAAGAAUGAGGUACUCUAAAUCCAUUAAUCCCUCCAUUGGAGUUAUCUUGGUAAAGAUUUCACCUAAAGCCUUCCCUAAGGAAUAUUGCUAAUUAUGGUGCUAUCUAUGAUCCGAGUUUUUCUCCUAUCCUCUCGGCGAAGAAGUUUUUCAUCUCUUUGGUGCUCUCAAAUCAAAUCAACGGUUUCCAUUAGUGGCUGGUUGUCACCUCAUAGUCUUGAGAUGUUUUCCAUAAGCCCACAACAAGCUUGUGCUUCUCGUUGUUGAUUUUCCAACAACUCCGUUCGAUUCUUCUUUGCAAGGAUGCUUUCCAAGUUCACUUGUGGCAAAAGUUGUCAUUUUCUUCUCCGUCCCUUUAUCCCAACGGUCUAACUUCUAUUCUUUCGUUACAGAGGCAUUGUGAUGUUGUGCUCUUCACCCAUCACCUCGUUUGGUGAUGAUCGUCUUCUUUUCUUGCUUAUCCAUUUAACCGGAGUGUUGUAUCAUCUCUUCAAUAUCUUUUCAUCUCAUCAAGUUUUCUUUUCUUUUCUACUGGAGUGCUGUCUAAAUUCUGUCAUUCUUGUUCCUUGGCUAUCUCAUUAUACCGAGGUGGUCAUAUUCUUUUCGUUCGUGAAGCUCGUAUUUCCAUGUCUUUGCAAAAUUCAAGUUCUCGUAAUACUCCUUGUUCCUCUUUCCUAACGGAUUGUUUGUAAUCUCGUUCAUCUCUGUUGUACUCUUUCUUUUAAAUUGCUCAACCUCUCAAGGUUCGUGGUUUCACUCGUUCAUCAAAGAAGCAACUUAGUUAUACCUCUUCUCUUCCUCUUCCGGUUCUCUCCGGUGCCAUCCUAGAUCUCGGGCCGAGAUCCUCUCGUAGUGGUGGAGUGUUGUAACGCCCUAGAUACAACUUUCCAUAUUCGUAACUCCAACUCUUGCCUUUUCCGGUGAUGCGAUAUGAUAUUUCCUUCGCGGUUGUUUUUUUUGUAUAUUGUUUUGCAUAUUUCAUUCCUAUAUGUUUAUGCCAUGAUCAUGUUGAGUGCCUUGUCAUAUUUUGCUUCUUGCAUCAUGCUCAUUAUUAAUUAUAUUUUGCCAUCCUUGUUGUUGCCAUGAUCAUCUUGUUUUUCAUUGUUCUUUUAUUUGUUGCAUAUGCUAUGCUCAUCAUUGUUUGCAUUGCAUUGUGCCUUUUGUCAUUUUGCAUUUCAUCAUAAUCACCAUGUGCAUCGCAUUCUUCAUGAUGUUGUCUUGCUCUAUGCAUGUUGCAUGUGACCAAACCCCUUCUAUGUCUCUCAAAUCUACCCUUGCAUCAACACCUCCUUCUUCCUUCUUAUUCCUUUCAUUUUGCUAGUGCCAUUUUCUGUCCUCCAUAAAUGUUCAUUCUUUUCCUAUAAAUCCUGCUCAUUGCCUACACCCUCUCUGUCAGAUUUCAUCCCAUUUGAAGUUGUUUUGGUCAGGUUCAAAAAUGAUUGAAGUUUGAGAAUAAGUCAAACUCUAAUUAUUUUUCUGCCUUCUAAAAAUGCCAGAGCACUUUAUUCAAAUCCUACAUAAAUCUAGGGUUCCAAAUUCAUUCCUACUUAUUCUUAAUUCAUUACGUAAACCCCUGGCCUUUUCCUUGUCUAAACCUGGGAAUUCAAUUUUUCAGAAAAGAAAAGAAAAGGAAUCACCUUAUCCGAAGCCACCUGGGCCUUUUACCUCCAACCAGCCCACCUCACUUACCUCUUUCAGCCCAGCGAGGCCACCAAUGCCGAUCCCUCCUGUUCUUCUUCUAGCUUCUGUAUGGCAGCUCAUCCAGCAGGUCCACGUUGACGCUUGUGUUGAUUUGACGGCCGGAGCUGCUCCCUUCACCCUAUAAAUCAUGCCCCCAACCCUAGGGUUCCCUGGUCGCUCCAUUUUCCCCUCCUCCUUCUCCUGCCGCCGCCAGGUGAGACCUCUCCAGGCAAUAGCCGUCGCCAUAGCCGGAGGAGCGCAAGCUCGUCCCCGGCUUGUACGCCUCUGUCCCCUGCGUUGCUGCCACGGGGAGAGAGUCGCGGCACUCAACGUUGUCUCCUUUGUCCACGCACGCGUCCACGAGCCUCGGAUCAACCUCCCCGACGACCUCUGCUUCCCCUUCUUCCUCUGCUUCAUGGACACCAAGUCGGAGGCCUCUUCUCGUCGCCGACCUCUCCUUCUUCUUCCUCGGGUCUACCUCGCCGCUGGCUAAAUUCGUCGCGUCCCCGAGCUCGUUCGACUCCUCC